CAUGGCGGCCAUAUUGUGGGCGGCCAUGCGGCUUCGGGGAGGCCGCCGGGGGCAGGAUGUGGGGUGGCUGGGGUGCGAUGUAAUAUCCUGUGGUGCACGUCCGGUCCCCAGAGAAGGGGACCCUCCGCCCUCCACCCCAGGCCACCUUCCUGCGCUGAGACAAGUCGCCUUCUCAUGGACCAUCCCACUUCAUCAGCACAGCAACCUCGGGAUGGGAGUGACGGCCCAUCUUUCGGAGGUGGAGACUGAGGCUCCACAGAAUGUGUCUGAGAUGUGAGUGUCAGGAAGCCAGUCAGUACUGGAGAGCCUGCCCUCAGGGAACACAGUCUCUGUCUCCUCCUGACAGCUCCGCAAGGCAGGCUGGGAUGAGCUGAAGUCGCUAUUUUUCCGAUGAGGAAACUGAGACACAGAGAGGUUGCCCAGUCAGGACUUGGGGCUCACCCAGGUGAUUCUAGCCCUGGUCAUCUCUCUCCAGGGCUGCAACCCACCCACCCCUUGAGAGGCCUGGAGGCUUGAGGGGGAUCCCGGCAGCCCUGGUCCUCUUGUCUGGAAUCACAGAAGCCAAAACCCUGGGGAGAUUGUGCUCAGAUGCUCCAUUCAACAAUUCUUCCAUUUCACGCUGUCCCAGCAUUUAUAGUGACAUGAAACAGAGCAAAGUGACUCCGCAUGGAGCAUGCGUACGGUGCCAGCAGCGCGCCCUCAGACGUAACCUCGGGGCUGGGCUGGGGCCUCUGGGUCAUGGUGAGACUGGUAAAAUCAGUUGACUUGGUGAUGGAUGGGGUUAUGACGGAGGCCCCCAGGUUUGCCCUCCAGAAACCACAAUCCAGGAGGAGAGACAAAUCAGUAAAGAGCCAGCAUGCUGGAGACAGCCGGCCUGGGAACUCAUCACCAGGCUGGAAGGUUGGUGACGGAAGGCUUCCUGGAGAAAGUGACCGUGCAUGGAGUCUCAACAGAUGAAUAAAAGUUCACCAGGCAACGAAAUUGAGGGAGAAGGUGGGAAAGGAGCUGGUGUUGGGGGACAUUUUUAUUUUAUCAUCUACCGAGGGACACAGAGGCC
Molecule: long non-coding RNA, 1057 nt
Organism: Odocoileus virginianus texanus
Lineage: Eukaryota; Metazoa; Chordata; Mammalia; Artiodactyla; Cervidae
Source: RefSeq, a predicted model, not a curated record